Molecule: ribosomal RNA, 253 nt
Filed under: uncultured bacterium
Lineage: Bacteria
Description: partial 16S ribosomal RNA
Rfam family: Bacterial small subunit ribosomal RNA
Source: RNAcentral
UACGGAGGGUGCGAGCGUUAUCCGGAUUCACUGGGUUUAAAGGGUGCGUAGGUGGGCAGGUAAGUCAGUGGUGAAAUCUCCGGGCUUAACCCGGAAACUGCCGUUGAUACUAUCUGUCUUGAAUAUCCUGGAGGUGAGCGGAAUAUGUCAUGUAGCGGUGAAAUGCUUAGAUAUGACAUAGAACACCAAUUGCGAAGGCAGCUCACUACGGGAUCAUUGACACUGAGGCACGAAAGCGUGGGGAUCAAACAGG